GCCCCGAGGGCGUCCGUGUCAGCUCGCCAGGCUGACAACCGGAUGGUCGCUGGUUCAAAUCCGGCCCGGGGGACCA
This 76-nucleotide transfer RNA is filed under the name Candidatus Bathyarchaeota archaeon ex4484_135. Its description in RNAcentral is "tRNA-Val". The record is from RNAcentral. Lineage: Archaea; Thermoproteati; Candidatus Bathyarchaeota.